GCUCGGACGUCCUUUUGCUGCCUUCCUUCCUGGAGAGAGGACGAUCAGGAGGGAGCGGGCUCCAGAUAGAGAGAUGUCUACCUAAUCUAAUCUAAUCUAUAUCCAUCCAUCCGUUCUCUGCCUUGGAGUGUGGUGGAGGCUGCUUCUUUGGAAGCUUUUAAACAGAGGCUGGAUGGCCAUCUCUCUGGGGUGCCUUGAAUGCAGUUUUUCUGCUUCUUUUCAGGGGGUUGGACUGGAUGGCCCAUGAGGUCUCUUCCAACUCUAUAAUUCUAUCCAUCCACCUAUCUAACCAUCGAUCUAUCAAUCUCUUAUAUAGAUAGGAUGCCUGAGCUCGGUAACAUGAGAUGAAGUAAUUUUUCCAUGAACAAGACACCUCGAACGUGGGAAUCCCAAACAUCUUUAGGGAUCGAGAAACUCUAAAUACAAGGUAACUCAAUGGACUUGUCUAUUCAGCAACUGGUUUGAUGAAUACUGUACUUGGGGCUAACAGGAUUCCAGUUAUUAGGUCACUGUUUUUUAAUUGCACUAUAAAUAAGAUAUGUGCAGUGUCAUUAGGAAUUGUUUUUUUCAAACUAUUGUCCAUCCGCCCAACAGUAUAAGGCCUGGUGUGUGUGUGUGUUUCUGGUUUCAUGCCCCCCCCCCCCAAACUUUCAUGAUUUUUUUUUUGAAAAAGCCCUGGUUUACUCAUGAAUUUUAACUAGUUAACCAAAUCCUCAUGCUAAAUCUAUGAUAAUGUAAUCCACCGAAACUGAUAUCCAAUCGGACUUCCCUAUUAAGCUCUAUAAGAAAAAGUUAAAUUUUAAUACAACUUACAAUGUUUCCAGGUAUAUAACAUUAUUUGUUUGUAUAUCUAAUUUAAUUUAUUUAUUUAAAUAAAUAGUUUUAAUUUAUUUCUAAUUUAUUUUUAUCAAAAGUAUUUUCAAAAUAACAUUAAAAGGAAAUAAGGGAAGGUGCAAGGGAGAACUAGGUAAGGGAAAGAUCAAGGAUUAAUUUAUUGUUGCAUUUUCACUAUGUAUAUUUGAAUUUAAGUUGUACUCUGUUAAAUAUUGUUAGUUGCUAUUUUAUGUUAUUUGGUAUUGCUCAUUGUUGUGGGCAGACCUUUAUAUAUGUAUAUGUGUCUGUAUUGAACUUUGGUUGCCAUGUAAGCCUCCCCAAGUCCCUUUUGGGAGAUGGUGGCAAGAUAUAAAUAACGAUAUUAUUAUUAUUAUAA
Anolis sagrei ordinatus is the source of this 1210-nucleotide long non-coding RNA. RefSeq lists it as uncharacterized. The record is from RefSeq and is a predicted model, not a curated record. NCBI's taxonomy places the organism in Eukaryota, Metazoa, Chordata, Lepidosauria, Squamata, Anolidae.